Molecule: small RNA, 558 nt
Filed under: Arabidopsis thaliana (thale cress)
Lineage: Eukaryota; Viridiplantae; Streptophyta; Magnoliopsida; Brassicales; Brassicaceae
Description: ATSL152300
Source: RNAcentral
GAAUAUUCAAUCUAAUUGACGAAAAAGACAAUAUGAAAAAUAUAUUCAUAUAUCUACAAAGGUUUUCGGAGAUCUACAACAAACAUCAAUUUAUUUGUCUCACGUGGACCGAUUAUAAAUCCAAAUAUCUUAGUUGCAUUGGAUUAAAUUGAGAAAAAUAUGGACAAUAUUUGCAUUGUUAUGGACCUUUUGUUGGUUUACUGGAAAACUAAUUUACUCCAAAUCCAUCUGCCCCCAAUUAUCUCGCCAACAAAAACGACACGUAAAUAGCACUUAUCUGGAGUAGGCAUAUAAGUUUUGUUCCCAAGUUAACAUCUUACUUAAGCCCACAUUCACUGAGUAAUUUUUAAAAAGCGAAGUCCUCGAAGAACAAAUUUAACUAUCCAAUUAAUACAAAUUUCGACUUGAACAGUUUGGCACUAUAAAGAAGGAACAGCAAAAGCUUUAACAUUCUAUACAAAAUAAGACGUUUUUGAGAUGCAAGACCACCAAAAAUAUUUUUAAAAAAUUCAAAAUAUAAAGACCACCAAUAAUUUGUGUAGACUUUACUAAGAUAUA